CCUACGGGUGGCUGCAGUGGGGAAUAUUGGACAAUGGGCGCAAGCCUGAUCCAGCCAUGCCGCGUGUGUGAAGAAGGUCUUCGGAUUGUAAAGCACUUUAAGUUGGGAGGAAGGGUUGUAGCUUAAUACGCUGUAACUUUGACGUUACCGACAGAAUAAGCACCGGCUAACUCUGUGCCAGCAGCCGCGGUAAUACAGAGGGUGCAAGCGUUAAUCGGAAUUACUGGGCGUAAAGCGCGCGUAGGUGGUUCAGUAAGAUGGGUGUGAAAUCCCCGGGCUCAACCUGGGAACUGCUUUCAUAACUGCUGAGCUAGAGUACGGUAGAGGGUAGUGGAAUUUCCUGUGUAGCGGUGAAAUGCGUAGAUAUAGGAAGGAACACCAGUGGCGAAGGCGACUACCUGGACUGGUACUGACACUGAGGUGCGAAAGCGUGGGGAGCAAACAGGCUUAGAUACCCCUGUAGUC
Molecule: ribosomal RNA, 465 nt
Filed under: uncultured Pseudomonas sp.
Lineage: Bacteria; Pseudomonadati; Pseudomonadota; Gammaproteobacteria; Pseudomonadales; Pseudomonadaceae
Description: bacterial SSU rRNA
Rfam family: Bacterial small subunit ribosomal RNA
Source: RNAcentral